This 16-nucleotide ribosomal RNA is filed under the name Orthopyxis sargassicola. Its description in RNAcentral is "partial 28S ribosomal RNA". Lineage: Eukaryota; Metazoa; Cnidaria; Hydrozoa; Leptothecata; Campanulariidae. RNAcentral also lists the same sequence under 1 other name. The record is from RNAcentral.
UGACCUCAGAUCAGGC